RNAcentral lists this ribosomal RNA (396 nucleotides) under uncultured bacterium. RNAcentral describes it as "bacterial SSU rRNA". It matches the Rfam family "Bacterial small subunit ribosomal RNA", at positions 29 to 449 of the family's 1533-position model. The record is from RNAcentral.
AGCGAACGCUGGCGGCAGGCUUAACACAUGCAAGUCGAGCGGGCACUUCGGUGUCAGCGGCAGACGGGUGAGUAACACGUGGGAACGUACCCUUUGGUUCGGAACAACUCCGGGAAACUGGAGCUAAUACCGUAUGUGCCCGAGAGGGGAAAGAUUCAUCGCCUUCAGAUGGGCCCGCGUCAGAUUAGCUAGUUGGUGAGGUAAUGGCUCACCAAGGCGACGAUCUGUAGCNGGUCUGAGAGGAUGACCAGCCACACUGGGACUGAGACACGGCCCAGACUCCUACGGGAGGCAGCAGUGGGGAAUAUUGGGACAAUGGGCGCAAGGCCUGGAUCCAGCCAUGCCGCGUGAGUGAUGACGGCCUUAGGGUUGUAAAGCUCUUUCGCUCGCGACGAU